GUCGAGCAGCUGUGUAGAUUUCACUCCUCUCGGACUCUAUCCCCACGUCGAGGAGCCAGACACAGCCAGUGAGGUAGUAUUUGCACGACCGAAAAUAACCAGCACCCAGUUGAGUUCGCAGACGUACAGAGAGCAAAAAGCCCUCGCUAACAGCAGCAGACGUCACA
Priapulus caudatus is the source of this 167-nucleotide long non-coding RNA. RefSeq lists it as uncharacterized. NCBI's taxonomy places the organism in Eukaryota, Metazoa, Priapulida, Priapulimorpha, Priapulimorphida, Priapulidae. The record is from RefSeq and is a predicted model, not a curated record. The transcript has 3 exons.